This is a long non-coding RNA of Micropterus salmoides (largemouth bass), 534 nucleotides long. RefSeq lists it as uncharacterized. The transcript is spliced from 3 exons. Lineage: Eukaryota; Metazoa; Chordata; Actinopteri; Centrarchiformes; Centrarchidae. The record is from RefSeq and is a predicted model, not a curated record.
UUACUCUGGAAACGUGCAGCUGUUCACCUUCAGCCCUCAGUCCUCAGGUGAGAAAACAGAAUCGUUCUACUUGGUGAGGUUCAUCGUUGUGUCUGUGGGUUUAGCAGCACUCAUAAUAAUUGUUGUGGCAGUCAACAUCUGGACAAGAACUAAAGGGACAAAAACACAGAUGGAUGAAAACACAGUGAGUUUAUAAUGUUUUUACAGUUGGUACUUUACACAGCAAACCAGUGUUUGUGACAUCUGCUCUUCAUUCUGAAGUGUAGAUGUAGAUAUAGAUAGAAGAAGACAAACAGAAACAAGACUCACUGAGUUGUACUGAAGUGGUCAAGAGGAACAUUUUGGAUUUGGGGUACCACAUAAACACUCCCUGUCUGGUCAAUCAGCUGGAGGAACAUGUGACAGUUUGGUACUUUUAUUUAACUAAUUACUUAAUUUCCUUCUGCAUGUCCUUUGUUACCACAAAAAACAGUUGUAAGUGGCAAAAAUAUGUAACCAGCCAGUCCAGAACACAGCAGCUGGAUUUCAACUUCA